UCUCAUAACCAUUUACAUCCU
RNAcentral lists this non-coding RNA (21 nucleotides) under Caenorhabditis elegans. The record is from RNAcentral. Lineage: Eukaryota; Metazoa; Nematoda; Chromadorea; Rhabditida; Rhabditidae.